RNAcentral lists this long non-coding RNA (2952 nucleotides) under Acanthaster planci (crown-of-thorns starfish). RNAcentral describes it as "uncharacterized LOC110988771". The record is from RNAcentral. Lineage: Eukaryota; Metazoa; Echinodermata; Asteroidea; Valvatida; Acanthasteridae.
CUGGACGGUUAUGCCUACUUGGCCAUCGCUUCCUGCCUGCAGGGCUUCACCAGUGGGGCCUUCUUCCCUAUAGCCUCAGUCUUAAUCCGGCGUUUGGUCAAGUUGGAGGAGUUCGCUCUCAGCACAGGAUGGUACCACAUUUUUCUUGGAGUUGGCCACCUGCUUGGACCGGUUGUAUCAGGCUGGGUGUUUGAUGUGACAUUGAGUUACAGGCCGGUGUUCUUUGUGUUAGGGGCAAUAAGUUUCGCCUGUUGUAUCCAAACACUUCUUUUCCCUGUCUUCAAGCGACUGGAAGGAAGGAGGUGAGGACCGACCACCCCAAACAACACGCAGUUGCGUUGCCACGAGGGGGAUGCAAAGUGAUGAGGCAGAGCGCAGUUCAGAGCAAAAUCGAGACACCAAAGGAGGCAAAUUGGGCGGGCAAAUAGAUUACAGGCCGAAAAACAGGUAAUUGUGUACAAGCUCAUAAGGUGACGAGAAUAUCAUUUCUUGGGUCAAGACGCCGUCUCAUGGGUGCAUUCGCAGCGAAAGCUUGUCAUCUUGACGAGAUAGCCUGAAACGUAUUUUACUCUUACAAAUGAAUCAUUAGGGAGACAUUUUGUGGUAGAUUUUUUGACCUUAAGGAGACAUCGGUCAUUAGGGAGACAUUUCAAUGUCUCCAUGUUUGCACAUAUUUACCAAAGUUCAAAUGAAAAGGUCGUUUAUUUUAAGUAAUCCAUGUUUCUUUGUUACAUAACCUGUUUUUGAUAUUAUUCGGGCAACUUUUUUCUGCAAAAGAAACAGCUUGUUGCAUUGAGAGGUCAAACUGCCCCAGGAAAGAAUGGCAUAAUUUAAGUAGGAAAGAAUAAGGGUAUUAUACAAAGUUAAAAGUAUAGUUUCUGGCAAACUUUUUUUUAAUCUACUCAUAAUGCCAAUAGUUUUGGAGAUUUUGCACACAACAUGUUGAUAUGUUUGGUCCAAGUGAGAUUCUCAUCAGUAUAAACACCCAAGAAUUUGGUACUUUUGACCUGGUUCAGAACAUUUUAUAUUAUAUAUUCCGUGUAUACUUAUUUGUCUAGAGUUAAAAAUCAUGUAAUUUGUCUUGAGUAAAUUAACUGAAAGUUUAUUUGACAAAAGCCAUUCAUUUCAAUUUUUCAAUUAACCCUAACAGUCCUGAAUCCUCCAAUUUUAAUAUGAUUUUGCACACACCCUAGGGAGUUAGGGUUAACAUUUAUUUCGAUAGUGCAAAUGUAUCAAUCAGGUUAUAUGAAUGUGUACAAUUAAUCAAGGAUAUAAAAGAAUACAAAUAAAUACGAUAAUAACUAGGAUGGCAUAAGUUAUGCACUACAGAGGCAUAAUCAAAAGCCGGGGGCUUGUACUGAAAUGUCUUGAGAGAAGACAGACAGACAGACAAUAGGUCACAGGACUAACAAAUAAGACAAGAAACGAAGAACGACGGACGGAAAACAAAAAUAAUUUAUACAAGGCAAUAAUAGAUACAAUGGAAUCAAAAAUAGUGAUAUGCAAGUAAUGAAACUGAGAGGGAAAUUAUGCUAAAUAACUGGAGAUAAGACUAUUUUUGUAUGAGGUUUUGAAGCGGCCCACAGACGAUUGUGUUUUCAGGGUCAUGCUUAUUCUAUUCCAUAGUCGUGGCCCCUGAAAUCGUAAAGUAUUGCUCGAAUAGGUUGUGCGAAUGUAUGGAAGAUAAAGAUUGUUGCGAGACCUUGUGCAAUAGUCAUGGACAUUGUGGACAGAGGUGAAGAAAGACGAAAAGGCGUGUGGAAGAAGAUUGUUGGUGUAUUUGAACAUAAAAAUCCCAGUUUGGAGUUUGUUUAUAUCAGUGAGUAUAAGUGUGUUGAGUCGUGCAAAGAGAGGGGCUGUGUGUGCCUGUGGAGGUGAUUGAGUACAAAUCCGAACAGCUCUUUUCUCAAUAAUUCAUUCUUCACCUUUACAAGUUCUGUAUUCAGAUUACUUAUGGCUGUAUUCACAUUAUGAUAACAGACUCACAGUGGCAGACUCAGAUCACAGCGGAUGGUGCGUGUAGGCCCUAUGUUUAUCAUUAUGCCACAGCUACCUGUAGAUGUAUGGUAACUGUAGGCCUACAGUACAUAUGUACAUGUAUAUUAAAAUUUAGACAGCAGAAGGAAGCAGAAUUUGACUUUCAGAGAGCAGGAAAUUCUGGACUUUUAUUUAGGCCCUCAAAAAUGCUACCAGUACUUUUGGGUGCAACAAAAUUGAACAACACUUGAACUUUCAGAGGCUGUAAAAAGAAAACGAUUGGAGAUAUCAAGCUGCAACCUAAUUUACCUUAAUUUUUAGGGAUUUUUCGGAAAACUUGUUGCGGUAAUAUGGGAGACACACCUGAAAUCCGUGUGUGAUUUAGCAUGAAUGAAGUAGAAGUGUCUUGGAAACAAUAAUUGACAAAUUGAGUCUCUUUUCUGUUUACUUGGUGAGGCCUUGAUUAUUUGGUGUGGGAAUUUGUAAGGGAUUAGUGUGAGGAAAAUGAAAGAUUCUGGAGGAGAAUAUAGAAUAAAGGGGCUUUCAAGUUUUUCCUUUAUACAGUUUUCAUGGCCCAAUCACCAUGUCCAUUUAUGCACAUGCGUGCAUAAUUGAGAAGAUAAUCAAUGGAAAGUUCCAUUAAUUUAACCAUUAAUGACGAACUCAAUUUGGUCACAUUCCGACAUAGUGAAUGCUUAUUAUUCUGUGAAACCUCUUAGUUUAGUCGUACAGAGCAGACGACGCACGUUUUAACGCACAAACAAAGGCUCUUGAUUAGUUUAAAUUUACUGUUUCUUCCCCCUUUUCUUUUGACAAAGGCAUCCCUCGUAUGGUUCAUAACAAACAAGUAACAACUGUCUCGGGGCACGUUAGUAGGUUGGUGUUCAUAACACUCACAAACUAUACUGGGUGUCCAUUUGACUUUGUUUAUGUAUGAAUAAUAAAAUCUUGAUCUGAGUCAGUUUGCUUACGUUA